GUGCUCACUUUGGCAGCACAUAUACUAAAAUUGGAAUGAUGCAGAGAAGAUAAACGUGGACCCUGCACAAGAGGAACAUGCAAAUUCAUGAAGUCCAGCCUAUUUAA
Molecule: small nuclear RNA, 107 nt
Organism: Suricata suricatta (meerkat)
Lineage: Eukaryota; Metazoa; Chordata; Mammalia; Carnivora; Herpestidae
Source: Ensembl